GGUCAGGAUGAACGCUGGCGGCGUGCCUAACACAUGCAAGUCGGACGGGCCGAGGCAACUGGUCAGUGGCGGACGGGUGCGUAACACGUGGGUGACCUGCCCUGGAGUGGGGAAUAACCCCGCGAAAGCGGGACUAAUACCGCAUGCCAUCCCUGGGUCAGACCGGGGAUGAAAGCCUUUGGGCGCUUCAGGAUGGGCCUGCGGCGGAUUAGCUGGUUCGGUGGGGUAAACGGCCUACCAAGGCGAUGAUCCGUAGGGGCGUGAGAGCGUGACCCCCCACAUUGGCACUGAGACACGGGCCAAACUCCUACGGGAGGCAGCAGUGAGGAAUAUUGCACAAUGGGCGCAAGCCUGAUGCAAGCAACGCCGCGUGAGGGACGAAGGCCUUCGGGUCGUAAACCUCUUUUCUGAGAGACGAGCAAGGACGGUAUCUCAGGAAUAAGUCUCGGCUAACUACGUGCCAGCAGCUGC
Molecule: ribosomal RNA, 471 nt
Filed under: uncultured bacterium
Lineage: Bacteria
Description: bacterial SSU rRNA
Rfam family: Bacterial small subunit ribosomal RNA
Source: RNAcentral